UUGAAACUCAUAAUCAAGCCAUCAAAAUCAAUUUUGAGAUUCACAAAAUAUCAUAAAAUCAUUAAUCUUGAUCAGAUGGGAGCGGUGUUUGACUCAAGAUAGGAUAAGAUAAUUUAACAUGUUAUUUAGAAUUGAAAAAGAAGGAUCAAAUCCACCGAGGAACGGAGAGAGGAUGAAAAACUUUACGGAAACUCCAUUCAAACAAGUUUAUUCUUAGGGACAAUUUAACAUACCUAAUUCCCUUCUAAUGAAUUCAAAUUGAUCUUCAUUCAAAG
This 275-nucleotide long non-coding RNA is filed under the name Musa acuminata (dwarf banana). RNAcentral describes it as "long non-coding RNA (MACU_LNC010170)". The record is from RNAcentral. Lineage: Eukaryota; Viridiplantae; Streptophyta; Magnoliopsida; Zingiberales; Musaceae.